Molecule: long non-coding RNA, 1168 nt
Organism: Grus americana (Whooping crane)
Lineage: Eukaryota; Metazoa; Chordata; Aves; Gruiformes; Gruidae
Exons: 2
Source: RefSeq, a predicted model, not a curated record
UUUCAAGCCAGCCAAACUUUCAGAGCCAUACAGGAGACAGACAGACAUACCCACAGCAAGUUAAUCCUUCAAAAAGGAUGAUGAUGAUGAAUGUUACUGAUUUCCCAGCAGCAGUAUUUCAUCUUUCGAACACAGAGCACAUUAACAGGAGUGUGCAGAAGCCAGUGUCGUACCUGUCUAGCCAUCUGUGGGCUGGGGUGUUCCAGCAAGCGUGAGUCUGUGUUCCUGCAAGAAGAAGAGGAGUAAAACCAGGCUUCAUUACAUAGCUCCAGAGAAAACACACACCCAUCCUACUGGAUAGACAUCCUUCCCCAUGGCUGAGAUUUAGAAAGCAUGACCUCAAACACAAGAUAACUCCUACAGUGUCGAUGUGGCAAAUCACCUAACUUCAAGCUGAUAAAUAAUUUUUGGCCCUUGUCAGCCACGAAGGUGUGUCAGGCUUAGUUACAAGAGCACGACUGAAGUCCCGGGUACCAAGAGGAAGCCCCUGAAAAGUGGCAGCUUUACAUUUCAGCCAAAUCAGGCACUGGGAAGUGUUACGGAGAUUAGCUGCUAGCUGCAGGUAUUUCCCAGGAGGACAAAAGGAGAUGCCUCUCCGCAGCCUCCGCGUCUGUCCUGACCUGUGAUGCACGGUCAGUGCCGCUGCUGCCCAGCGCAACAUCGGGCUGAAGGUUUCAGAGUUUGUAAUUUAAAUAGCACCACUCCCGGUUUCCCUUUUAAAGAUGCGGCAGCCUGAGAGAAGCAGCACGGUUGGUCAGUCGAGGUGACAAACGUCUGCUAGAUGAGUGGCACCUUGUCAUUGACUCUGCCAGAAUAUAAAAGUUUCAUCUUCCUGACAACACUUUCAGCAGUGAAAGAGGACGAAGCGUCCAAACAAAGCACCUCCUGAUUAUGCUCUGGGGACUGUAAUCUUGCAGUUCUCUUAGAUACUGUGUCUGUAUCAGAAACUAACAUCUAAUUUAUACCAUCUUAAUAAUUAACAGUCAGGAUUUAGAAGACCGUGGCAUGUUUUCAUCUUGCAAUAUUUACUAACUUCCUUAAAGCUCCAACUCUGGAGCCAUGUUUCAGUAGGGGGGAAAAAAAAAAUAGAACUGUUUUAAAAAUAAAAAAUUGUUAAGAAUUAGACAUCAGAAUAAUAUUAAAAAAAUCUUAAGACCUGCUGAAAAAA